CAGCCGCCGCGGUAAUACGAAGGGGGCUAGCGUUGUUCGGAAUUACUGGGCGUAAAGCGCACGUAGGCGGAUAUUUAAGUCAGGAGUGAAAUCCCAGAGCUCAACUCUGGAACUGCCUUUGAUACUGGGUAUCUUGAGUAUGGAAGAGGUGAGUGGAAUUCCGAGUGUAGAGGUGAAAUUCGUAGAUAUUCGGAGGAACACCAGUGGCGAAGGCGGCUCACUGGUCCAUUACUGACGCUGAGGUGCGAAAGCGUGGGGAGCAAACAGGAUUAGAUACCCCCGUAGUCCCUGUCUCUUAUAC
RNAcentral lists this ribosomal RNA (301 nucleotides) under uncultured bacterium. Its description in RNAcentral is "partial 16S ribosomal RNA". It matches the Rfam family "Bacterial small subunit ribosomal RNA", at positions 509 to 807 of the family's 1533-position model. The record is from RNAcentral.